AGUGAACGCUGGCGGUAGGCCUAACACAUGCAAGUCGAACGGCAGCACAGUAAGAGCUUGCUCUUACGGGUGGCGAGUGGCGGACGGGUGAGGAAUACAUCGGAAUCUACUUUUUCGUGGGGGAUAACGUAGGGAAACUUACGCUAAUACCGCAUACGACCUACGGGUGAAAGCAGGGGAUCUUCGGACCUUGCGCGAUUGAAUGAGCCGAUGUCGGAUUAGCUAGUUGGCGGGGUAAAGGCCCACCAAGGCGACGAUCCGUAGCUGGUCUGAGAGGAUGAUAAGCCACACUGGAACUGGGACACGGUCAAGACUCCUACGGGAGGCAGCAGUGGGGAAUAUUGGACAAUGGGCGCAAGCCUGAUCCAGCCAUACCGCGUGGGUGAAGAAGGCCUUCGGGUUGUAAAGACCUUUUGUUGGGAAAGAAAAGCAGCAGGUUAAUACCCCGCUGUUCUGACGGUACCCAAAGAAUAAGCACCGGCUAACUUCGUG
RNAcentral lists this ribosomal RNA (492 nucleotides) under uncultured bacterium. Its description in RNAcentral is "partial 16S ribosomal RNA". It matches the Rfam family "Bacterial small subunit ribosomal RNA", at positions 29 to 507 of the family's 1533-position model. The record is from RNAcentral.